GACGAACGCUGGCGGCGUGCUUAACACAUGCAAGUCGAACGGGCUCUGUCUGGCUGUGUGCUGGGUGGGGUUAGUGGCGAACGGGUGAGUAAUACGUGAGUAACCUGCCCUCUUCUUUGGGAUAAGCCUUGGAAACGGGGUCUAAUACUGGAUAUUCCUGUCUGGUCGCAUGGCUGGGUGGGGAAAGUUUUUUUCGGUGGGGGAUGGGCUCGCGGCCCAUCAGCUUGUUGGUGGGGUGAUGGCCUACCAAGGCGUCGACGGGUAGCCGGCCUGAGAGGGUGACCGGCCACACUGGGACUGAGAUACGGCCCAGACUCCUACGGGAGGCAGCAGUGGGGGAUAUUGCACAAUGGGCGCAAGCCUGAUGCAGCGACGCCGCGUGGGGGAUGACGGCUUUCGGGUUGUAAACCUCUUUCGUCGGGGGACAAGGCUCUGCUUGGUGGUGGGGUUGAGGGUACCCGGUGAAGAAGCGCCGGCUAACUACGUG
This 487-nucleotide ribosomal RNA is filed under the name uncultured bacterium. RNAcentral describes it as "partial 16S ribosomal RNA". It matches the Rfam family "Bacterial small subunit ribosomal RNA", at positions 28 to 507 of the family's 1533-position model. The record is from RNAcentral.